AACGAACGCUGGCGGCAUGCCUAACACAUGCAAGUCGAACGGGACCUUCGGGUCUAGUGGCGCACGGGUGCGUAACGCGUGGGAACCUGCCCUUAGGUUCGGAAUAACUCCCCGAAAGGGGUGCUAAUACCGGAUAAUGUCUUCGGACCAAAGAUUUAUCGCCUUUGGAUGGGCCCGCGUUGGAUUAGCUAGUUGGUAGGGUAAAAGCCUAUCAAGGCGACGAUCCAUAGCUGGUCUGAGGGGAUGAUCAGCCACACUGGGACUGAGACACGGCCCAGACUCCUACGGGAGGCAGCAGUGGGGAAUAUUGGACAAUGGGCGAAAGCCUGAUCCAGCAAUGCCGCGUGAGUGAUGAAGGCCUUAGGGUUGUAAAGCUCUUUUACCCGGGAUGAUAAUGACAGUACCGGGAGAAUAAGCGCCGGCUAACUCCGUG
RNAcentral lists this ribosomal RNA (433 nucleotides) under uncultured bacterium. RNAcentral's name for it is "partial 16S ribosomal RNA". It matches the Rfam family "Bacterial small subunit ribosomal RNA", at positions 29 to 507 of the family's 1533-position model. The record is from RNAcentral.